RNAcentral lists this ribosomal RNA (253 nucleotides) under uncultured bacterium. RNAcentral's name for it is "partial 16S ribosomal RNA". It matches the Rfam family "Bacterial small subunit ribosomal RNA", at positions 524 to 776 of the family's 1533-position model. The record is from RNAcentral.
UACGGAGGGUGCGAGCGUUGUCCGGAAUUACUGGGCGUAAAGCGCUCGUAGGUGGUUUGUCGCGUUGGCCGUCAAAUCUCGCGGCUUAACUGUGAGCGUGCGGGCGAUACGGGCAGACUAGAGUGCUGCAGGGGAGGCGGGAAUUCCUGGUGUAGCGGUGGAAUGCGCAGAUAUCAGGAGGAACACCGGUGGCGAAGGCGGGUCUCUGGGCAGUAACUGACACUGAGGAGCGAAAGCGUGGGGAGCGAACAGG